RNAcentral lists this ribosomal RNA (453 nucleotides) under uncultured organism. Its description in RNAcentral is "bacterial SSU rRNA". It matches the Rfam family "Bacterial small subunit ribosomal RNA", at positions 346 to 794 of the family's 1533-position model. The record is from RNAcentral.
GUGCAGCAGUCGAGAAUCUUCGGCAAUGGGGGAAACCCUGACCGAGCGACGCCGCGUGUGGGAUGAAGGCCCUUGGGUUGUAAACCACUGUCAGAGGGGAUGAAAUGCCGGAAAGUUAUCUCUCCGGUUUGACAUAGCCUCAGAGGAAGCACGGGCUAAGUUCGUGCCAGCAGCCGCGGUAAGACGAACUGUGCAAACGUUAUUCGGAAUCACUGGGCUUGAAGAGUGCGUAGGCGGUUUCGUAAGUAGGGUGUGAAAGCCCCCGGCUCAACCGGGGAAUUGCGUCCUAAACUGCGAGGCUGGAGUGAGGUAGGGGUGUGUGGAACUUCCAGUGGAGCGGUGAAAUGUGUUGAUAUUGGAAGGAACGCCGGUGGCGAAAGCGACACACUGGACCUUGUCUGACGCUGAGGCACGAAAGCCAGGGGAGCAAACGGGAUUAGAUACCCCUGUAGU